CACCAGGCUCCUCUCACCCAGGCAGCUCCGAUCCAGGAUGGACGUAGGCUAGAAUCUUCCUGAGCCCCAGCUGCAUGCAUGAUCCAGGUCAACGUUGCUCUGAAUGCAAACAACUCACAGUUGCAAACACCAACCCUCACUUCUGAAGGCCACAGAGGAUCGUGAAGCCUUUUUCCGGCCUUCUACCGAAAGUUCUCGCAGAUCCUAGUCCACACAGCAUUCAUCCUUCCCGACUUCGGUGGAUUGGCGGCCCUUUGUCUAUAAUUGCUCUCCAGAGCGCUGGUGUGCACACAUGGGAGACGAACGGCAGCCCCUGCUCUCACCUGUGCUAGGACUGUACGUAUGCAGAAUUGCGAAAGGGUGAGGAAAUGGCACCAGUGCAACUACGACACCAAGGCAAACCAAAGUCCUCCAGAGAAGAGUCCCCGAGAUGCCCCUCCACGUGAGUCAGAAUGACAGCACGGGAGAUCUGUUCAUAAACUGGAACAAAGCUGGACACCUCUGGAAAGGUGAGAAACUGAGUCAGGGCAGCAUCUGGACAAGACACAGGAGAGAGGGCGCUGAUCUGUAAGCUUACUCAGCAGGCUAGUCCUCAAGAUAUCUGAAACGUUUACUACGUCCCCGGUCACGUGACUGGAGUUGGUGCCAACUGGGACGGUCUGUGCUGGAAAAUGAGGGCACCAAGUGCAGCCUGAGACUGCUGACCACAUGCGGAGCCCUUAGCUACUGAAAACACCACACCUGCUCAGGGCUCAGGCUGGCCCUAGCCAUGGGAUGACCUGCUUCCUCCUCAGGGUUGGUUGUUGAGGCUCAGACAAUAACUUCAAGAUUGGCAUGGCUUAGAGGAAGUAUAUCCACACCAAGGCUGUGUCACAGGAGAAUCCGUGACAUGCCUAGCUUGUGGAACACACACCCACAUAUAAACCUCACCAUGGCAGGAAAUGAUAAGUUGGAGAAUAGCGCUACAGGACUCAUUUUUAUUAAUUUGUUAAUUUUAUUAAUGUGUGUGUGUGUGUGCGCACACGCGCGCACACGCGCGUGCGUACACACACACACAUGCCAGCCAGAAGAGGGCAACAGAUCCAUGGGAGCCGGAGUUACAGGUGGCUGUGAGCUGCCUGAUAUGGGUGCUGAGAACUGAACUCAAGGCCUCUGGAAAGCAGUAAGCUCUCUUUACUGUUGAGCCAUCUCGCCAGCUCUUACAAGAUGUAUUUUAAACAUAAAUGUUUUGUAAAAGAACAAUCAAAAUGAUAAAAGUUUUAUGUACUCUGAAAAACGUUAAGCCUAAUUUGUAAGUAACUGAAAAAAAUGUUACCUACAACACAGCCCCUCUGUGCCAGCCCAGCUAUUUCUAUUCUGGUCAUCUUCCCACGCUCACACAUCUGCAUUUGGGAAUUAAAAAAGUCAACAACAGUAACUGUCCUUGGAAAGCCCCUGCAGGCAGUGACUGCUGCCUGGGUGGAGGUCCUGCCAAGCCGCAGCUGAGCUGGGGCACAGCUGCCCACUUCCCUUCCUUCGCUGCAUUUUCCAGCCAUUCAGAAACAGGCAGGAACUAGAGGGUGCCUUAAGUUCAGCUGACCCCACCGCAGUGCAUAGGACUUGCUGAGAAGAACACAAAUAACGACUUUCCCUUUGAAGACAUUCCCACAGCUCUGGCUCUGUGCCCCGUCACACCUGGGACCUCUGUUUACAAGCCCAUGAUCUGCAAGUGCAAUUUCCUUUGGUGACCUCAUCUGGAAUCUCUCUCAGCCACAUGACUGCUGUCCAGGACAGCCCCACCCUCCCCUUAACGUUCUCCUAGGAGGUUGCAAUCCUGUGGUCAUAGCCUCUACCUUCCUAACACGAAUGUGACAAUCAUCGUUCAGGCAGAUUCUGCCAAGGCACACCGUUGCUACUAUGUCAUACUGCAGAGCCAGCGGUUCCCUGGCCAUAGGACAACUCCCAUUUCCUACUCUCUUUUCACUCUAAGGCUUCUGUGCCUUAUGUCAAGCCCUCAGUUUUAUGCUCCGCUUUUAUCUCCUCAGCAGGGCAUUCUAUAGAAGGACGCAGAGCCGGACCCUGCAGCUGCCUCCUCUAGCAGGAAAGCCAGCUCCUGUUUCUCCCAAAGGCAGAUGUGAUCAGAAAGUGAAACAGAUGUAUUUUACUUUAUAUUGAUGUGCCUGUGUGUGCAGGUGCUUAUGAGGGUAUCAGACCCGCUGGAGCCAGAACUACAGGUGGCUGUGAGCUGCUUGAGGAGGGUGCUGGUGUAAACACUGGGUCUCCAGCCUCCAUCUUUGGAGGCCCUGUCCCUGUGCCCCUUGAAUCUUGACCCCUCCCCAGGAAAUGUCAAGACUACUCCCUCAGGCUAUUUAAACUGCUCCCCCUAAAAAUAAACACGUGGCUUUCCCCCUUUCCUCCAGUGGUCGUGUGUUGGCGCUUUCAGGUUCCCCUCGGGCCACCUGAGAGCGCGGGAGUCCAAUUAAACCUGGAUAUCUUUUAAUUUGGUCUGAUUGGGAUUAUUUUGGGUCGGCAGAGAGCUCGUGUUAGAAAAUAUUCCUAACAGCUGGGAGCUGAACUCAGGCCCUCUGCAGGAGCAGCGUGUGCUUUUAAUCUUGGAGCCAUCUCUUCAGAGCCAGAGCACGUGUUUCAAGGUCCAUGCUCCACUCAGACUACAAUCAUGCAGACCACGAGGUCCAGGACAGAGGACCACGUCUACCUCAGUAUGCGCACCAUGAGGUCACAGGAUACACACUGGCAGCAGCUGUCCUCUCAAGCAGCACGUCCCUUUUUGACGGUGACCUAUUAAAUAAUAUGGGAGCUAUGCUGGUGCAAGCUGGGAAUCUCUUUACACUUGUUGUUUUUUUAUUUAAUGCAUUUGUACGUGUGUGCCAUGGCACUACUCAUGGGAAAGCCACAGACAACUUGCAGGAGUCAGGUUUCUCCUUCCUCCACAUGGGCUCUGGGGACUCAACCCAUGUCAUCAGGUUGGGUGACAAAAACCCUUAGUUGCUGAGUCAUCUCACUGACAAACUGGAAACCUUUUACUCAUGUAUAAAAGAGAGUAUCAACAAAGGCUCAUUUGCUUUAAAAUUUAUCCAGGUUUAAAGGCUUAAAAUGGGAAGAGGUCCCAGUCCAGAAAGGCCCAAGAGCCUGAACAGCAUAACUAUGCAGCUUAACUACUGCUCCGUAUGGAGCUCAACUAGCUUGGUCCCCACCGCUAUAAACGGAAAUGGCCGUGAGAACGCUGCCUUUUCAGUGCGACCAACGGCUGAGCUGGACCACUGAGAAGUGAGCCAGCCAAAAACUCACUAGUACAACAGGGAGCUGUGGGACACAGGAAUUUUGCAGACAUUGGCAUCUUUAGGCACACUGUAUAUAAAACUCCAAGACUCAUCACUCCUUCAGAGAAAAACAUCCUGUCUGAACUGGCUUCAGCUUUUAUUAUUAGACUUUAAGUCACGAGAAUGUGCCGCACGGAGCACCAAAUUAUCCUGCAGAAGAAAGGCUCUCAUCUCCAGGGAGGAGGCUGCUUGUUUUUCCUGCCCUUCACCAGCAUAAGCAGCCUCAUUUGGCUCUCCUAGGGACCAGAACUUUCUCUGCAGGUGGCAGCCCCAGUUUGGCCCCGGGCAGGAGUGCCUCACUCAUCCCCCCCCUGUAGCAGAGUCUGUGGUCAGUUCAGCCCCCUUGGCAGAGUUUCUCCUACAAACCCUGGAAUUCAACUUCUCAGCUGUUUUCACACUACCAACAAGGAGUUCUCCCCUCCCCCUGCUCAGUUCUAGUCCUCACACGACCCGCACAGCUAAAGGAGCGAGCGAGAAAAGGUGGGUGGAGCGGGGCACCCCCACCCCAUGCCAAUUUAUAGGAAACUAAAGCUCAGUAAGUAUUGGCAAGAAAGACUGAAGCCCACAGCUAGAUACAUCCUGGGAUCCUUUUGUCAGUAUAGCAAGCACCCAGCUUUGAGGCUUUUAUUCUUUACAUAUGGUCUAAAUGCCAUGAAAUCUCACAGCUGGCCAAACUGUAAGACAGCUUUUACUACCCAUCUGACUUUAGUGAGCCACCCUCCCUCCCAACCCUGAACGCUAGAAAAUAAGUCAAAAGAGUCACGCGGAAAGGAGUUGUUUUAAGGAUACAGAUCCCUGUCACAGAGGGAAAGUCUCCAAAGGUUCUUGUGGACAGACAGAAGGAAAUAAAGGUAAUAAAUAGUUCAGCAUUCUGCUGGGAGGUGAGGGGAGAGGAAACCAACACCCACUUAGCCUCAAAGACCAGCUUUAAGGGAAGGAGAGACAGCUCAGUGGUGGGGAGAGCUUGCUGUUCUUCUUCCAGAGGACCCAAGUUCAACUCAGAGCAUCCACGUCGGGCCCUUCAGAUUACCUGUAGCUACACUUUCAAAGGAUAGGAUACCCUCUUCUGGCCUCCUGGAAAUUCCCCCCCCACACACACACACACAUCUACUCACACAGGUACACACACAUACACAAAUAAAAAUACAUUUAAAAACCAAAAAGCUAGUUUCGUACUUUUAGGAUGUAGAAUCACAUCUGUAUAGUAGUGUACACGCAAUGCAAUGCUUCUGAACAGUCCCUCAAGACGCUCUCCGAGGGGCUGGAGAGAUGUAAGUACUAGCCAUGCAAGCAUGAGGGACUGGGUUUGGAACCCUAGUGCCCACAAAACAGGGCAUCAGGGGGCAAGCCUAUAAUCCCAGCUCUGGAGAGGGAGAGACAGGAGAUUCUCUGAGGCUUCAAUGAGAGACCUUGUCUCAAAAAUAAUAUGGGGAGGGAUAACGGAAGGUUACCAACCUCUGGCUGCCACAUGAAUGAGCAUGCAUGCAUGCGCGCGCGCACACACACACACACACACACACACACACACACAUAUCCUCUUUGGCUCUGAAAAGAAAUCUUUGAAAUUAUGAGAUUACAUGUGCUUCAAAGUAAAAGAGGUGACUAAUGGGUGGGACUGUGUAGAGCAGGGUCUGACCUGCUCACCAGAUGAGGACUCCUAGGCAACCAAGCCUGACUAGACAGUCACACAACCAACAACGACCACAGGCUGACAAUACAAGCUGCUCACUGACAGGAGAAUGCUGGCUGGCAGACACAUGG
Alexandromys fortis (reed vole) is the source of this 5081-nucleotide long non-coding RNA. RefSeq lists it as uncharacterized. The transcript is spliced from 3 exons. NCBI's taxonomy places the organism in Eukaryota, Metazoa, Chordata, Mammalia, Rodentia, Cricetidae. The record is from RefSeq and is a predicted model, not a curated record.